Molecule: ribosomal RNA, 119 nt
Filed under: Lepisosteus oculatus (spotted gar)
Lineage: Eukaryota; Metazoa; Chordata; Actinopteri; Semionotiformes; Lepisosteidae
Source: RNAcentral
ACCAGCAUCCAUAUCAUUCUGCAACUCACAACUGGCAACCCACUGAAGCUAUGCAGGUGUGAUCCUGGUCAGUACCUGGAUGGGAGACCUCCUGGGAAAAACUAAGGUUGUUGCUGGAA